RNAcentral lists this transfer RNA (71 nucleotides) under Culex quinquefasciatus (southern house mosquito). RNAcentral describes it as "tRNA-Met". The record is from RNAcentral. Lineage: Eukaryota; Metazoa; Arthropoda; Insecta; Diptera; Culicidae.
ACCUCCUGUGGCCGAAUGGUUACGGGUUUCGCCUCAUAAGCGGAAAGUCAUGGGUUCAUCUCAGGGUGGCA